Molecule: long non-coding RNA, 1738 nt
Filed under: Papio anubis (olive baboon)
Lineage: Eukaryota; Metazoa; Chordata; Mammalia; Primates; Cercopithecidae
Description: lncRNA (ENSPANG00000043722.1)
Source: RNAcentral
GCAAGGGGCUGUAUCUGUAAACUGGCUCAUGUCCAGAAAUUGGUUGAGGGCUCAUGAUUCGGUUUUUAUGAUUUGAGUUAGACUUUUGUUCACCUGACCUUAUACAGACCAAGUAAGAAUGUAGUAGACUUCCCAUUUAUUUCAUUUCUAGGAACACCAUGAUUAACUCCAAUGUCAUAGGCCAACAUGAGUCAGACUUCUGAUUGCUGAAUUGCCUCUGCUGUCCAUUAUAGUAACUGCACCCACCUUGUCUUUGGGGAUUGAUGCUGCCACUUGACUCCUGCCACACCAGGAUCCAAUUAUCCCUAUUGCAUUUCAGUUUUCCAAUUGAGUAAUCACGGUUCCCACUGUAGGAUCUGGCAUAUAAGGAACAGCAAUCACAGAGAUCUCCAGGGAUGCUGGGGCUUCCAUAAGAACCUGUUUCUCAAGGAGUUGGUGAAACAUCUGUUUUCUGGAUCCACCAGUGUGGUUACCAAGAAAGAAGACACAAACUAUAGCUGCAACACUGAGGGAUCGAGGGAAGGUGAGACCUUUGACAUGGAAGCUAGAGCUGAGUUGGCCAAAGAAACCUGGGGAGAAGGACCACGAAGCCCCAGGUGGGUAGCACCACGUAAGUGGAAAUCCACCACCACAUGUGCCACUACACACAGCUCAUAGAUUCCUUUUGUUUUCUUUUUCAGUGGACACUGAGUAAAUUUAUAUUUUCUUGUACAGAGGAGCAAUUGUUCUGAAGCUGGCAGUGGCUGGGCUGCUAGGAAUGGCCACAAGUUUAGGCACUGCCUGCUCCUCAGUCAUUUGUAAAUUUUUAUUUUCUCGUACAGAAGAGCAAUUGUUCUGAAGCUGGCCAUGGCUGGCCUGCUAGGCAUGGCCAUUAGUUUAAUGCAGUGGCUGCUCUUCAGCUGUUGGCCAGCUCAGGCCUGAGCUGAGCAGGAUGGUUGUCACGAUGGUGGCAGCUUUUAGCUCAGAAGAUGCAGAUACGUGCUGAGAGCCAUUGUGGCCGCUCUUUCUUUCCAGAAAAGGUGUGGGAGCUCCAGGCAGGUGAACCUGCCACACUUGUGUUCUGAGGGCCUUUCCUCUUCUCUUGGCUCAUUCUUAUCUCCUGAGUAAGCGAGACUCUCUGCUUCCUCAUCUGCUCCGGGUCUGUGGUUGUUACUGUGAGGCUCAACCUGGCAUUGACCUUCCUAUGUGCCAUCUGACCCUUUUCCUCCCACCUUUACAUCUGACUCUGCCCUGGUUCAUGAAACACCCUGGCCCACCCUCACCUGUGGACGUCUCUGCUUAGCACUUUGCUCAGUCAAGAGGUUUAUCCGUCAUUUGCUGUAGAUAAUUAAUAUGUAUUUAUAUAUACCCUGGGAUAAAUAUAUAUAUUUGUAUUUUAACAUAAAUUAUAUAUAUAUCUAUAUAUCAGGAUUAAAACAUAUAUAUGUGUAUGACCUAAAAUGUGUGUUUCUUUAGCUCAAAAUGUUUACUUUUUACAUUCAAAACACAUUUCCACUUUAAAACAUGUUUACCAUUGUCUAGAAAUGUUUUGAACAUACCAGUUUUCCUGAUGAGCCACUGAACACUUUCUAUGAUGGCUAUGUGGUUUGAUUUUGGAAUGGUCCUACAACUGAAAUGUGCCUUGGCAAAUUUAAUCACCUAAUUAUGGCAUACGAUCUUUCUCAUGUGGUAGAAGUAAAGCUGUUUAUCACAGUGACUUUUGAUAUCAUACACAUUUCUCAAAGUCACAUUACGGGGG